CCCACUCUAUCUCCGCGCCCGGUGCGACUGCUACGUCCAUCCAUUUUGUUGGCGUAGGGGGAAAAGUCAGAGGGUCUGGCGUCUAAGUCUAAGUCAGAGAGGACUUCACUAGAAGUCCUCCGAAAUCAUCUUUUCUUUUUCUUUGAAUAUGAGAAACUAUCAGCCCCAUGGACUGCAGCACACCAGGCCUCCCUGUCCAUCACCAGCUCCUGGAGUUUACUCAGACUCACGUCCAUUGAGAAUAUGUACCAGUACAAAGUGUUAACCUCAUUUGGAUUUGAACCCCCAUCCUCAAGAGCAAAAGAAGGCUGAGGAUCGCCAAAUGUCAGCUCAGCUGUGAGAAGUGUUUUAAAUCAUAUUUUGACGUACGUUACGCUGUUAACUAGAAAAUGAAGUGCAGCACACAUGCUUCUAGUAACUCUGGUUUCAAAUCAUAUGAUCCCUUCUUUGUCUUGAAGACCUUUUGAUGUGCGUUCCCAAUAUUGAGUUUCUCUGCUUUUAAUAAUCUUAUAUUCCUUCCUCAAUAUAAAUGUCAUGAAAAAUACUGAAUGCUAAUCUUCAAAGAUCAAACAGGAAGAAAGAGGUAGGCAGCAUAGCUCAGUGACUUGAAUU
Molecule: long non-coding RNA, 612 nt
Organism: Bubalus bubalis (water buffalo)
Lineage: Eukaryota; Metazoa; Chordata; Mammalia; Artiodactyla; Bovidae
Exons: 3
Source: RefSeq, a predicted model, not a curated record